GCUGGCGGCAGGCCUAACACAUGCAAGUCGAGCGCGCCUUCGGGUGAGCGGCGGACGGGUUAGUAACGCGUGGGAACGUGCCCUUCUCUACGGAAUAGCCUCUGGAAACGGAGAGUAAUACCGUAUACGCCCUUUGGGGGAAAGAUUUAUCGGAGAAGGAUCGGCCCGCGUUAGAUUAGGUAGUUGGUGGGGUAACGGCCUACCAAGCCUACGAUCUAUAGCUGGUUUUAGAGGAUGAUCAGCAACACUGGGACUGAGACACGGCCCAGACUCCUACGGGAGGCAGCAGUGGGGAAUCUUAGACAAUGGGGGCAACCCUGAUCUAGCCAUGCCGCGUGAGUGAUGAAGGCCUUAGGGUCGUAAAGCUCUUUCGCCUGUGAUGAUAAUGACAGUAGCAGGUAAAGAAACCCCGGCUAACUCCGUGCCAGCAGCCGCGGUAAUACGGAGGGGGUUAGCGUUGUUCGGAAUUACUGGGCGUAAAGCGCGCGUAGGCGGAUUAGAAAGUUGGGGGUGAAAUCCCGGGGCUCAACCCCGGAACUGCCUCCAAAACUGCUAGUCUAGAGUUCGAGAGAGGUGAGUGGAAUUCCGAGUGUAGAGGUGAAAUUCGUAGAUAUUCGGAGGAACACCAGUGGCGAAGGCGGCUCACUGGCUCGAUACUGACGCUGAGGUGCGAAAGUGUGGGGAGCAAACAGGAUUA
RNAcentral lists this ribosomal RNA (697 nucleotides) under uncultured Ruegeria sp. RNAcentral's name for it is "bacterial SSU rRNA". It matches the Rfam family "Bacterial small subunit ribosomal RNA", at positions 35 to 780 of the family's 1533-position model. The record is from RNAcentral. Lineage: Bacteria; Pseudomonadati; Pseudomonadota; Alphaproteobacteria; Rhodobacterales; Roseobacteraceae.